AUACGGAGGGUGCAAGCGUUAUUCGGAAUCACUGGGCGUAAAGGACGCGUAGGCGGAUUGGCAAGUCAGAUGUGAAAUCCUACAGCUUAACUGUAGAACUGCAUUUGAAACUGCUAACCUAGAGUAUGGGAGGGGGAGAUGGAAUUAGUGGUGUAGGGGUAAAAUCCGUAGAUAUCACUAGGAAUACCGAAAGCGAAGGCGAUCUCCUGGAACAUAACUGACGCUAAGGCGUGAAAGCGUGGGGAGCAAACGGGAUUAGAAACCCUAGUAGUCC
Molecule: ribosomal RNA, 274 nt
Filed under: uncultured bacterium
Lineage: Bacteria
Description: partial 16S ribosomal RNA
Rfam family: Bacterial small subunit ribosomal RNA
Source: RNAcentral